Molecule: ribosomal RNA, 420 nt
Filed under: bacterium
Lineage: Bacteria
Description: partial 16S ribosomal RNA
Rfam family: Bacterial small subunit ribosomal RNA
Source: RNAcentral
UGGGGGAUAUUGCACAAUGGGCGAAAGCCUGAUGCAGCGACGCCGCGUGGGGGAUGAAGGCUUUCGGGUUGUAAACCUCUUUCGCUAUCGAACAAGGCCCGCUUAGGGUGGGUUGAGGGUAGGUGGAGAAGAAGCGCCGGCUAACUACGUGCCAGCAGCCGCGGUAAUACGUAGGGCGCGAGCGUUGUCCGGAAUUAUUGGGCGUAAAGGGCUUGUAGGCGGCUUGUUGCGCCUGCUGUGAAAACGCGGGGCUUAACUUCGCGCGUGCAGUGGGUACGGGCAGGCUUGAGUGUGGUAGGGGUGACUGGAAUUCCAGGUGUAGCGGUGGAAUGCGCAGAUAUCUGGAGGAACACCGAUGGCGAAGGCAGGUGACUGGGCCAUUACUGACGCUGAGGAGCGAAAGCAUGGGUAGCGAGCAGG